UGAUAGAGGCGCGGACGUCAAGAGUACCUCCUCCCGCAGGUCCAGGCACGGGGAGAGAGGGAAAGGGGCUUCCGCCGAGGUUUCGGCACUCCCGCCUGGGGAGACCGGAGCCGGGCCGCGGGAGAAGAUCCCACGGACUGUCGCCCCUCCGGGGCGGAGAGCUGUCGU
Molecule: non-coding RNA, 168 nt
Filed under: uncultured Dysosmobacter sp.
Lineage: Bacteria; Bacillati; Bacillota; Clostridia; Eubacteriales; Oscillospiraceae
Description: Lysine riboswitch
Rfam family: Lysine riboswitch aptamer
About the family: Riboswitches are metabolite binding domains within certain messenger RNAs that serve as precision sensors for their corresponding targets. Allosteric rearrangement of mRNA structure is mediated by ligand binding, and this results in modulation of gene expression.
Source: RNAcentral